UGUCAAGACUUGAGAAGGACUCGUCUCCUCUGUUCGCUUCAGGAUGUCUUAAUGAUUACCAUGUGAUUACAGAUACACUGUUUUCUUUUACUUCUUGAAAGACAUGGGGAGAUUAAAGCAAACAGACAACUGACAUCAAAUUGCUAAAUUAAAGGAGGAAGCUCCCGUGAACUCUGGGCUGGACGUCGUCCAGAAGGGGAUCUACCGUGCUGUGACAGGCCUUGAGUCAUCCGCUCCUCUGGCCGGGCCCGUCAUUCUGGAUGCGGCUCCAUAGGUCAACUUGUCUUCUACACCAAGACGCCUUUUGGGUUCAGAGGGAUGAAGUGAAAACUCCCAGCCCCUGAACAUCCCUGCUGGAGCUUUAUGUACAAUAUACAACCCAGACAGACCAGGUGUAGCAUGCUAAAAAAUAAGGUAAGAAAUCAGUAUACAGCAGCCCCAGAAGACAGCCAUUUAUCUUCAAGGUAGUAAAUUCCAUCAGUGUGUUUAAAGGAGGAUGAAAGAGAGUUGCAGACUCCAUGUUAACCCUUUCUCACCCACAUAUAUGUAAUAUUUCUAUAAAUUUUCCACCAUUUGGUUUUGGUGGUGGCAACUGAUACAAUUUUUUUAAAGGGCAAAAUCAUAACUUUCAUGCAAAUGUAAAAAAAACCCACAUGCCAUAGAUUUUAUAUAACUCAAUUAGGAGGCCAGCAAGAUGUUCCAUUGGUUCAAAGGAGAAUUCAAACAAUUUACCCAUAUA
Long non-coding RNA from Panthera uncia (snow leopard), 739 nucleotides. RefSeq lists it as uncharacterized. The transcript is spliced from 3 exons. NCBI's taxonomy places the organism in Eukaryota, Metazoa, Chordata, Mammalia, Carnivora, Felidae. The record is from RefSeq and is a predicted model, not a curated record.